This 1966-nucleotide small RNA is filed under the name Pongo abelii (Sumatran orangutan). Its description in RNAcentral is "processed transcript". Lineage: Eukaryota; Metazoa; Chordata; Mammalia; Primates; Hominidae. The record is from RNAcentral.
GAGCCCCCAGUGCCCGCUCCCGCCCCGCGGCCCGCUCUCCCCGCCCGCCCCGGCUCGGCCGGCUGCCGUCGCCCGCGCAGCCCGCCCGUCCGCCCGCUCGCUGGCGCCGCGGCCGCCGGCAGACCCCGCGCUCCGGCUCCGGCUCGGCUCGCUGGGCUCCGGUGCGCGCCGAGGCCAUGCAGCGCCGGGGCGCCCUGUUCGGCAUGCCGGGCGGCAGCGGAGGCAGGAAGAUGGCUGCAGGAGACAUCGGCGAGCUGCUGGUGCCCCACAUGCCCACGAUCCGCGUGCCCAGGUCCGGCGACAGGGUCUACAAGAACGAGUGCGCCUUCUCCUACGACUCUCCCAAUUCUGAAGGUGGACUCUAUGUAUGCAUGAAUACAUUUUUGGCCUUUGGAAGGGAACAUGUUGAAAGACAUUUUCGAAAAACUGGACAGAGUGUAUACAUGCACCUGAAAAGACAUGUGCGAGAGAAGGUAAGAGGGGCGUCUGGUGGAGCGUUACCAAAAAGGAGGAAUUCCAAGAUUUUUUUAGAUCUAGAUACUGAUGAUGAUUUAAAUAGCGACGAUUAUGAAUAUGAAGAUGAAGCCAAACUUGUUAUAUUCCCAGAUCACUAUGAAAUAGCACUACCAAAUAUUGAGGAGUUACCAGCCCUGGUAACAAUUGCUUGUGAUGCAGUUCUCAGCUCAAAAUCUCCAUACAGAAAGCAGGACCCAGACACGUGGGAAAAUGAAUUGCCAGUAUCUAAAUAUGCCAACAACCUCACCCAGCUGGACAAUGGAGUCAGGAUUCCUCCAAGUGGUUGGAAGUGUGCCAGAUGCGACCUGCGAGAAAACCUCUGGUUGAAUCUGACUGACGGCUCUGUCCUGUGUGGAAAGUGGUUCUUUGACAGCUCUGGGGGCAAUGGGCAUGCGCUGGAGCAUUACAGAGACAUGGGCUACCCGCUAGCCGUGAAACUGGGAACCAUCACUCCUGAUGGGGCAGAUGUUUAUUCUUUUCAAGAAGAAGAACCUGUUUUGGAUCCUCAUUUGGCCAAGCACUUAGCGCAUUUUGGAAUUGAUAUGCUUCAUAUGCAUGGGACAGAGAAUGGGCUCCAGGACAAUGACAUCAAGCCGAGGGUCAGUGAGUGGGAAGUGAUCCAGGAGUCGGGCACGAAGCUGAAGCCAAUGUAUGGUCCUGGCUACACGGGUCUGAAGAACCUGGGCAACAGCUGCUAUCUCAGCUCUGUCAUGCAGGCCAUCUUCAGCAUCCCAGAAUUCCAGAGAGCGUAUGUAGGAAACCUUCCCAGAAUAUUUGACUACUCGCCUUUAGAUCCAACACAAGAUUUCAACACACAGAUGACUAAGUUAGGACAUGGCCUUCUCUCAGGCCAGUAUUCAAAGCCUCCGGUGAAAUCCGAACUCAUUGAACAGGUGAUGAAGGAGGAGCACAAGCCACAGCAGAACGGGAUCUCUCCGCGCAUGUUUAAGGCCUUUGUAAGCAAGAGCCACCCGGAAUUCUCCUCUAACAGGCAGCAAGAUGCCCAGGAAUUCUUCUUGCACCUGGUGAAUCUAGUAGAGAGGAACCGCAUCGGCUCAGAAAACCCAAGCGAUGUUUUUCGUUUUUUGGUGGAAGAACGCAUUCAGUGCUGUCAGACCCGGAAAGUCCGCUACACGGAGAGAGUGGAUUACCUGAUGCAGUUACCUGUGGCCAUGGAGGCGGCAACCAACAAGGAUGAACUGAUCGCUUAUGAACUAACGAGAAGGGAAGCAGAAGCAAACAGAAGACCCCUUCCUGAGUUGACCUACUUGAUAUCAACCAUCUCCGAGCCAGGGGGUUACAGCCAGGAGAGGAAGAACUUCCAGACAUCAGCCCCCCCAUAGUCAUUCCUGAUGACUCAAAAGAUCGCCUGAUGAACCAAUUGAUAGACCGUAUGUAUCUUUAAAAAUGUUUCUCAAUGUCCUACUAUUGUUAUUAAUCUGAUGAAUUU